RNAcentral lists this ribosomal RNA (448 nucleotides) under Littorina fabalis. RNAcentral's name for it is "partial 16S ribosomal RNA". The record is from RNAcentral. Lineage: Eukaryota; Metazoa; Mollusca; Gastropoda; Littorinimorpha; Littorinidae.
AACAGACCAACCCUUGAAGGCUUCUGCACCUCUCAGGAUAUUCUAGUCCAACAUCGAGGUCACAAACCUUUUUUUCGAUGGGAACUCUCAAAAAAGAUUAUGCUGUUAUCCCUACGGUAACUAAUUCUUUUAAUCGUAAUAAAUACGGAUCUAGAUUUAGAUAUUUUUAUAAAUAAAAGAAGCUUUAAUUGUUCCUUAGUCGCCCCAACCAAAAUUUUUUAUGAAAAGAAAUGUAUAAUACUUUCUUUAUAUCAUAAAUGACUUUUAAGCUCGAUAGGGUCUUCUUGUCUUUUAAUUCUAUCUAAGUUUCUUCACUUAGAAAAUAAAUUCCAGGGAUUUCUAUAGAGACAGGGUCGCCCUUGUCAAACCUUUCAUACUAGCCCUCAAUUAUAGGGCAAAUGAUUAUGCUACCUUUGCACGGUCAGAGUACCGCGGCCGUUAAAUACUA